Molecule: small nucleolar RNA, 133 nt
Organism: Suncus etruscus (white-toothed pygmy shrew)
Lineage: Eukaryota; Metazoa; Chordata; Mammalia; Eulipotyphla; Soricidae
Product: small nucleolar RNA SNORA51
Exons: 1
Source: RefSeq, a predicted model, not a curated record
GGCCUCCCAAUGCUUACCACAGGUGCUGUUCUUUACACUGACUGUAUAGAAAGAGGAGGUACAGUAAAUGCUGCCCAUAAACACCUCAAACCAGGCUCUUUGCCUGGUCUGUAUUGUGAAUAGGGGAACAAAA